AUAGAGUUUGAUCCUGGCUCAGGACGAACGCUGGCGGCGUGCCUAAUACAUGCAAGUCGAGCGGAGAUUUGAAAAGCUUGCUUUUCAAAUCUUAGCGCCGGACGGGUGAGUAACACGUGGGCAACCUGCCCUUGAGACGGGGAUAACUCCGGGAAACCGGAGCUAAUACCGGAUAACACAUAUCUUCGCAUGAUGAUAUGUUAGAAGGUGGCUUUUAGCUACCACUCAAGGAUGGGCCCGCGGCGCAUUAGCUAGUUGGUGAGGUAACGGCUCACCAAGGCGACGAUGCGUAGCCGACCUGAGAGGGUGAUCGGCCACACUGGGACUGAGACACGGCCCAGACUCCUACGGGAGGCAGCAGUAGGGAAUCUUCCGCAAUGGACGAAAGUCUGACGGAGCAACGCCGCGUGAGUGAUGAAGGUUUUCGGAUCGUAAAGCUCUGUUGUUAGGGAAGAACAAGUAUCUGUUGAAUAAGCAGGUACCUUGACGGUACCUAACCAGAAAGCCACGGCUAACUACGUGCCAGCAGCCGCGGUAAUACGUAGGUGGCAAGCGUUGUCCGGAAUUAUUGGGCGUAAAGCGCGCGCAGGCGGUUCCUUAAGUCUGAUGUGAAAGCCCACGGCUCAACCGUGGAGGGUCAUUGGAAACUGGGGAACUUGAGUGCAGAAGAGGAGAGCGGAAUUCCACGUGUAGCGGUGAAAUGCGUAGAGAUGUGGAGGAACACCAGUGGCGAAGGCGGCUCUCUGGUCUGUAACUGACGCUGAGGCGCGAAAGCGUGGGGAGCGAACAGGAUUAGAUACCCUGGUAGUCCACGCCGUAAACGAUGAGUGCUAAGUGUUAGAGCGUUUCCGCCCUUUAGUGCUGCAGCAAACGCAAAAAGCACUCCGCCUGGGGAGUACGGUCGCAAGACUGA
RNAcentral lists this ribosomal RNA (913 nucleotides) under uncultured bacterium. RNAcentral describes it as "bacterial SSU rRNA". It matches the Rfam family "Bacterial small subunit ribosomal RNA", at positions 1 to 897 of the family's 1533-position model. The record is from RNAcentral.